Molecule: ribosomal RNA, 456 nt
Filed under: uncultured bacterium
Lineage: Bacteria
Description: bacterial SSU rRNA
Rfam family: Bacterial small subunit ribosomal RNA
Source: RNAcentral
GGGCCCGCACAAGCAGCGGAGCGUGUGGUUUAAUUCGACGCAACGCGCAAAACCUUACCAGGGUUUGACAUCCUCGGAAUCUGGCAGAAGUGCUGGAGUGCCUGCAAGGGAGCCGAGAGACAGGUGUUGCAUGGCUGUCGUCAGCUCGUGUCGUGAGAUGUUGGGUUAAGUCCCGCAACGAGCGCAACCCCCGUGGUCAGUUACAUGGUUGUCUGACCAGACUGCCGGAAGCAAACCGGAGGAAGGCGGGGAUGAUGUCAAGUCAGCAUGGCCCUUACACCCUGGGCUACACACACGCUACAAUGGCCGAGACAAUGGGUUGCCAAGCAGCAAUGCGGAGCCAAUCCCUCAAACUCGGUCUCAGUUCAGAUUGUGGGCUGAAACUCGCCCACAUGAAGACGGAGUUGCUAGUAACCGCCGGUCAGCAAUACGGCGGUGAAUAUGUUCCCGGGCCUU